UAGAGUUUGAUCCUGGCUCAGGAUGAACGCUAGCUACAGGCUUAACACAUGCAAGUCGAGGGGCAGCAGGACGGUAGCUUGCUACUGUCGCUGGCGACCGGCGCACGGGUGAGUAACGCGUAUCCAACCUUCCCCUGAGUAGGGAAUAGCCCGGCGAAAGUCGGAUUAAUGCCCUAUGUUGUCCGACGAUAGCAUUUGAAUUGGAUGAAAGAUUUAUCGCUCAGGGAUGGGGAUGCGUCUGAUUAGGUUGCAGGCGGGGUAACGGCCCACCUGGCCGACGAUCAGUAGGGGUUCUGAGAGGAAGGUCCCCCACAUUGGAACUGAGACACGGUCCAAACUCCUACGGGAGGCAGCAGUGAGGAAUAUUGGUCAAUGGGCGAGAGCCUGAACCAGCCAAGUAGCGUGCAGGAAGACGGCCCUAUGGGUUGUAAACUGCUUUUGGAGGGGAAUAAAGUGGCGUACGUGUACGCCUUUGUAUGUACCCUCAGAAUAAGGACCGGCUAAUUCCGUGCCAGCAGCCGCGGUAAUACGGAAGGUCCGGGCGUUAUCCGGAUUUAUUGGGUUUAAAGGGAGCGCAGGCGGAGGUGCAAGCGUGCCGUGAAAGCGCGGGGCUCAACCCCGUACAGCGGCGCGAACUGCUCCCCUUGGUUGCGGGAAGGGAAGGCGGAACUCGUGGUGUAGCGGUGAAAUGCAUAGAUAUCACGAAGAACUCCGAUCGCGAAGGCAGCCUUCCGGCCCGUCAACGACGCUCAUGCUCGAAGGCGCGGGUAUCAAACAGAAUUAGAUACCCUGGUAGUCCACGCCGUAAA
Molecule: ribosomal RNA, 809 nt
Filed under: uncultured bacterium
Lineage: Bacteria
Description: bacterial SSU rRNA
Rfam family: Bacterial small subunit ribosomal RNA
Source: RNAcentral